GGCGGGAUGGCGUAAUUGGUAGGCGCGCUAGUCUUAGGAACUAGUGAUUAAUUUCGUGGGAGUUCGAGUCUCCCUCUCGCUACCA
Molecule: transfer RNA, 85 nt
Filed under: Bacteroidota bacterium
Lineage: Bacteria; Pseudomonadati; Bacteroidota
Description: Bacteroidetes bacterium tRNA-Leu
Rfam family: tRNA
About the family: Transfer RNA (tRNA) molecules are approximately 80 nucleotides in length. Their secondary structure includes four short double-helical elements and three loops (D, anti-codon, and T loops). Further hydrogen bonds mediate the characteristic L-shaped molecular structure. tRNAs have two regions of fundamental functional importance: the anti-codon, which is responsible for specific mRNA codon recognition, and the 3' end, to which the tRNAs corresponding amino acid is attached (by aminoacyl-tRNA synthetases). tRNAs cope with the degeneracy of the genetic code in two manners: having more than one tRNA (with a specific anti-codon) for a particular amino acid; and 'wobble' base-pairing, i.e. permitting non-standard base-pairing at the 3rd anti-codon position.
Source: RNAcentral